Molecule: ribosomal RNA, 484 nt
Filed under: uncultured bacterium
Lineage: Bacteria
Description: partial 16S ribosomal RNA
Rfam family: Bacterial small subunit ribosomal RNA
Source: RNAcentral
AUUGAACGCUGGCGGCAUGCUUUACACAUGCAAGUCGAACGGCAGCGCGGGCUUCGGCCUGGCGGCGAGUGGCGAACGGGUGAGUAAUACAUCGGAACGUGCCCAGUAGUGGGGGAUAGCUCGGCGAAAGCCGGAUUAAUACCGCAUACGACCUGAGGGUGAAAGCGGGGGAUCUUCGGACCUCGCGCUAUUGGAGCGGCCGAUGGCGGAUUAGCUAGUUGGUGGGGUAAAGGCCUACCAAGGCGACGAUCUGUAGCUGGUCUGAGAGGACGACCAGCCACACUGGGACUGAGACACGGCCCAGACUCCUACGGGAGGCAGCAGUGGGGAAUGUUGGACAAUGGGCGAAAGCCUGAUCCAGCAAUGCCGCGUGUGUGAUGAAGGCCUUCGGGUUGUAAAGCACUUUUGGCGGGAACGAAAAGGACUGUGCCAAUACCACGGUUCGAUGACGGUACCCGCAGAAUAAGCACCGGCUAACUACGUG